Molecule: ribosomal RNA, 679 nt
Filed under: Trichodorus iranicus
Lineage: Eukaryota; Metazoa; Nematoda; Enoplea; Triplonchida; Trichodoridae
Description: partial large subunit ribosomal RNA
Rfam family: Eukaryotic large subunit ribosomal RNA
Source: RNAcentral
GAGGGAAAGUUGAAAAGAACUUAGAGGUGAGAGUUCAACAGGGCGUAAAACCGCUUAGAAGCAAACGGAUGGUGCUGACAUUAUUUCUGCUGAAUUCAGCUGGUCUGACGGUUGAUCGUCUGUUCGCUGAUCGCAAGACGGCUUUCAGAGUGUACUUGACCUAGGACCGGUGCAUUUUCGGUGGAAUGCAUCAUGACCGUUGACGACGCUGGCAGAAGGCCUGCUUGUUGCCGACUAUGGGUCUUCGGAUCUGUAGUGCCCCACUUGUGGUGUCCUGUCCGGGUUGCCGUCAACGGAUAACUGGACGUGCCGGUUUCUCUCGACUGGUGCUUUCUUUCGGCUGUCUGACUCGUCUAGCCGUGCGUGCACGGCGGGGCAAACCUCAGUCGUUUGUAUUGUGCUAGUUUGACGUGGCACUGAAGGUCUAUGGUGUCCGCGUCAGUCUCCCAUCCGACCCGUCUUGAAACACGGACCAAGGAGUCUAACAUGUGCGCAAGUCAUGGGGUGUAAAACCCAAAGGCGUAAUGAAAGUAAAGGCCGCAAGGCUGAGGUGUGAUGUUCUGUAUAACAGGACCGCAACACCGUCCCAUCGCAUCGGCUUGUCCGGGCGGUGGAGAAAGAGCGUACACGUUGGGACCCGAAAGAUGGUGAACUAUGCCUGAGCAGGAUGAAGCCAGAG